This is a non-coding RNA of Pelobates cultripes (western spadefoot toad), 266 nucleotides long. Lineage: Eukaryota; Metazoa; Chordata; Amphibia; Anura; Pelobatidae. The record is from the annotation of a GenBank genome assembly.
AUUGCCCUUACCAACCACUGAGUGCAACAAGCACUUCCUGUAAGAUUGGGUACCUUGGUUCCCUCGGCCACUCUUCGUGGAGGUACAGAGUAGGUACAGAAGGGAAAGGGUGAAUGAGACAUAUGGAGGGGCUGGGCGGUGGAAUGAGACACAUUAUGGGGCUAGGGGGAGAAUGAAACACAUGGAGGAGCUGGAGGGGCAAUGAUGAGACACAUGAAGGGGCUAGGGGGAAUAAGACACAUGGAGGGACUGGGGGGUAAUAAGAC